GAGAGCCCGUUGCCUAGUAAUGGGCAUGGCGGGUUCGGCGAGAGGUCCGGGGAAACGGACCGGGAGUAAUCCCAGC
This 76-nucleotide unclassified non-coding RNA is filed under the name Streptomyces sp. OV198. Lineage: Bacteria; Bacillati; Actinomycetota; Actinomycetes; Kitasatosporales; Streptomycetaceae. The record is from RNAcentral.